GAUGAACGCUCGCGGCAGGCCUAACACAUGCAAGUCGAGGGAGAAGCCCUUUCGGGGGCAGAAACCGGCGCACGGGUGCGUAACGCGUAUGCAACCUACCUUUCACAGGGGGAUAGCCCGAAGAAAUUUGGAUUAAUACCCCAUAAUAUUAUUGGAUGGCAUCAUUUGAUAAUUAAAACUGCGGUGGUGAAAGAUGGGCAUGCGUCCUAUUAGCUAGUUGGAGUGGUAACGGCACCCCAAGGCUACGAUAGGUAGGGGUCCUGAGAGGGAGAUCCCCCACACUGGUACUGAGACAGGGACCAGACUCCUACGGGAGGCAGCAGUGAGGAAUAUUGGUCAAUGGUCGGAAGACUGAACCAGCCAUGCCGCGUGCAGGAAGAAUGCCUUAUGGGUUGUAAACUGCUUUUAUAUGGGAAGAAUAAGGCGUACGUGUACGUUGAUGACGGUACCAGAUGAAUAAGCAUCGGCUAACUCCGUG
This 478-nucleotide ribosomal RNA is filed under the name uncultured bacterium. RNAcentral's name for it is "partial 16S ribosomal RNA". It matches the Rfam family "Bacterial small subunit ribosomal RNA", at positions 28 to 507 of the family's 1533-position model. The record is from RNAcentral.